UACGAAGGGGGCUAGCGUUGCUCGGAAUUACUGGGCGUAAAGGGAGCGUAGGCGGAUCGUUAAGUUAGAGGUGAAAGCCCAGGGCUCAACCCUGGAAUUGCCUUUAAAACUGGCGGUCUUGAGUAUGGCAGAGGUGUGUGGAACUCCGAGUGUAGAGGUGAAAUUCGUAGAUAUUCGGAAGAACACCAGUGGCGAAGGCGACACACUGGGCCAUUACUGACGCUGAGACGCGAAAGCGUGGGGAGCGAACAGG
Molecule: ribosomal RNA, 253 nt
Filed under: uncultured bacterium
Lineage: Bacteria
Description: partial 16S ribosomal RNA
Rfam family: Bacterial small subunit ribosomal RNA
Source: RNAcentral